GUCCGUGGAGUGAAAUGCAUGCUGGGAAGCCAUCUACCAUGGGUCCGUGGAGUGAAAUGCAUGCUGGGAAGCCAUCUACCAUGGGUCCUAGCUUGCUGCAUUAUGUUUUAAUUUGCCGGUUUACUUUUCAACUUGAUAAUGAUUUUCAUUUGUCGUACCGGUAUUCAGAGCACCAGUGAAGUGCAUUAGGUUCAGUCAUCCAUAGGGGGCCUUGGUAGGCUAUUCUCCAGCCCAGGGAGGAGGGGCGUAGAUGGGGUAACAAAAGGAGGCCCUCUGCCUGCCUGCUGGGUGGAGGAGAUCACCAGCCAGGCUGACAAAAUGGAGGGGCCCUACUGGGCACUGUGGGGGAACCACUUCUAUAGGCAGGUUAAGAGUUAUACACACACACACACACACACACACACAGGUUCAGCCAAUAGGCAUGGUAGGGUAGCUGACAGGAUCAAUAGAUGUCAGAUGGAGACUUCAGAGCUGUUAGAAUCACAGGCUUGUUAUUCCCUGGAUAGACAGAGACUGGUUAGAAUCACAGGCUUGUUAUUCCCUGGACAGACAGAGACUGGUUAGAAUCACAGGCUUGUUAUUCCCUGGACAGACAGAGACUGGUUAGAAUCACAGGCUUGUUAUUCCCUGGACAGACAGAGACUGGUUAGAAUCACAGGCUUGUUGUUUCCCUGGACAGACAGAGACUGGUUAGAAUCACAGGCUUGUUGUUUCCCUGGACAGACAGAGACUGGUUAGAAUCACAGGCUUGUUGUUUCUCUGGACAGACAGAGUUUUGAUCACUACGAGAGGAUGUCAGACCCCGGUGAUUAUUGCCGAUGAGCUUCUGAUUCCAACACGGUGUCACGAAUCCCGCCGAAGAUGGUUCCUCUUCCUGUUCGGGUGGCGCUCGGCGUUCGUCGUCGCCGGCCUACUAGCUGCCACCGAUCCCCUUUUCUGUCUCAGUUAGUUUUGUCUGAUUAGUUUCACCUGUUUGUUGUUUGGGUUUUGUUUUGGGGCUAUUUAAACCCUGCUUUUGUGCGGGCUUGUUUUUCUGUUCCAUGGUGUGUGGAUUUAUGUGGAUUCCUUUUUCCGGAAGGUUCCGUCCUGCUUGUUGUUUGUUAUUUAUGCGCCCUUGUGUUUGGCGUGACUCUGUUCCUGGAAUAAAGACCCACGUUUGAACUCUGCUCUCUGCGCCCGACUCCUCCACCCACAACUCCUAGAAGCCGUGACACACGGCCUCAGUACGUCAGGACAAGGACAAGACGCGUUCAACCACAUGUCUGUUAUGUCACAGCUUUCUUCAAGAAGAAUUGAAAUGGGAGAUAAUUUACAGCUAAAUCUGGUACAAUAUUUAGGAUAUACAGCUUUUUUAAAAAUGUUAAACCAUAUAAUUCCAUGUAAAAUAUUAGAAUGAAUAAUAGUGAACUAAAGCAUCUCUAUGCUUUAUUACACACUCGCUGUUUGGCUCAUAGAAAACAUCCUCAUACACAGCCCUUUAGUUGUGUUCUUGAUUAUAUCCACAGGUCUUAAUUAUAAUUCCUGUAGCAGCCAUCUCUAAUAGCUGGUCUGCUCUCAUCGUGACAUAGCUGCUACAUCCAAAAUGGCCACCCUAUUCACUAUACAGCGCACUACUUUGGAUCCAGGGCGCAUAGGGCUCUGGUUAACAUCAGGUGCACUAUGUAGCGAAUAGCAGGGUUCGGUUUGGGACGCGUGUCAUAUUUAAAUGUCAAUCAGGCGCUAUGCAGAUCACUGAAGCAGUAAUUACACCCAAUUAGUUAGCAGCGUUAUACAGUAAUUACUAGAGUGACAAAUUAAUUUCAUGACUCAACACAAAUCACCAUUAUCAAAAGAAAUGAGAACUACAAUGCUAACUGUGGAAUUAGAUAUAUAUUUCUCUACUAGGAAAAUAAAUGCUAACUGAUGAAUUAGGGAGCUAACUAGUGACCGGGAAGGGGUACUAACUAGUGACAGGGAAGGGCACUAACUAGUGAGAGGGAAGGAAGCUAACUAGUGAGAGGGAAGGGUGCUAACUAGUGACCGGGAAGGGGUACUAACUAGUGACAGGGAAGGGCACUAACUAGUGAGAGGGAAGGGGUACUAACUAGUGACAGGGAAGGGCACUAACUAGUGAGAGGGAAGGAAGCUAACUAGUGAGAGGGAAGGGUACUGACUAGUGACAGGGAAGGGUACUAACUAGUGGCAGGGAAGGGGUACUAACUAGUGAGAGGGAAGGGUACUGACUAGUGACAGGGAAGGGUACUAACUAGUGGCAGGGAAGGGUGCUAACUAGUGACAGGGAAGGGUACUAACUAGUGACAGGGAAGGGUACUAAUUAGUGUCAAGGAAGAGUACUAACUAGUGACAGGGAAGGGUACUGACUAGUGACAGGGAAGGGUACUGACUAGUGACAGGGAAGGGUACUAACUAGUGACAGGGAAGGGUACUGACUAGUGACAGGGAAGGGUGCUAACUAGUGACAGGGAAGGGUACUAACUAGUGGCAGGGAAGAGUACUAACUAGUGACAGAGAAGGGUACUAACUAGUGAGAGGGAAGGGUACUAACUAGUGAGAGGGAAGGGUACUAACUAGUGACAGGGAAGGGUGCUAACUAGUGACAGGGAAGGGUACUGACUAGUGACAGGGAAGGGUGCUAACUAGUGAGAGGGAAAGGUACUAACUAGUGACAGGGAAGGGUACUGACUAGUGACAGGGAAGGGUACUAACUAGUGACAGGGAAGGGUACUGACUAGUGACAGGGAAGGGUACUAACUAGUGACAGGGAAGGGUACUGACUAGUGACAGGGAAGGGUGCUAACUAGUGACAGGGAAGGGUACUAACUAGUGGCAGGGAAGAGUACUAACUAGUGACAGGGAAGGGUACUAACUAGUGAGAGGGAAGGGUACUAACUAGUGACAGAGAAGGGUACUAACUAGUGUCAGGGAAGGGUACUAACUAGUGACAGGGAAGGGUACUAACUAGUGGCAGGGAAGGGUACUAACUAGUGAGAGGGAAGGGUGCUAACUAGUGACAGGGCAGAGUACUAACUAGUGACAGGGAAGAGUACUAACUAGUGAGAGGGAAGGGUACUAACUAGUGGCAGGGAAGGGUACCAAACC
Long non-coding RNA from Oncorhynchus tshawytscha (Chinook salmon), 3099 nucleotides. The record is from Ensembl. NCBI's taxonomy places the organism in Eukaryota, Metazoa, Chordata, Actinopteri, Salmoniformes, Salmonidae.